This 23-nucleotide microRNA is filed under the name Dasypus novemcinctus (nine-banded armadillo). RNAcentral describes it as "dno-miR-421-3p". Its record names the gene dno-miR-421-3p. The record is from miRBase by way of RNAcentral. Lineage: Eukaryota; Metazoa; Chordata; Mammalia; Cingulata; Dasypodidae.
AUCAACAGAUAUUAAUUGGGCGU